Molecule: ribosomal RNA, 429 nt
Filed under: Actinomycetes bacterium
Lineage: Bacteria; Bacillati; Actinomycetota; Actinomycetes
Description: Actinobacteria bacterium partial 16S ribosomal RNA
Rfam family: Bacterial small subunit ribosomal RNA
Source: RNAcentral
UAGGGAAUCUUCCGCAAUGGGCGAAAGCCUGACGGAGCAACGCCGCGUGAGUGAUGAAGGUCUUCGGAUCGUAAAACUCUGUUAUUAGGGAAGAACAAAUGUGUAAGUAACUAUGCACGUCUUGACGGUACCUAAUCAGAAAGCCACGGCUAACUACGUGCCAGCAGCCGCGGUAAUACGUAGGUGGCAAGCGUUAUCCGGAAUUAUUGGGCGUAAAGCGCGCGUAGGCGGUUUUUUAAGUCUGAUGUGAAAGCCCACGGCUCAACCGUGGAGGGUCAUUGGAAACUGGAAAACUGGAGUGCAGGAGAGGAAAGUGGAAUUCCAUGUGUAGCGGUGAAAUGCGCAGAGAUAUGGAGGAACACCAGUGGCGAAGGCGACUUUCUGGUCUGUAACUGACGCUGAUGUGCGAAAGCGGGGGGAUCAAACAGG